AGCGAACGCUGGCGGCAGGCCUAACACAUGCAAGUCGAACGAACUCUUCGGAGUUAGUGGCGGACGGGUGAGUAACACGUGGGAACGUGCCUUUUGGUUCGGAAUAACUCAGGGAAACUUGUGCUAAUACCGAAUGUGCCCUUCGGGGGAAAGAUUUAUCGCCAUUAGAGCGGCCCGCGUCUGAUUAGCUAGUUGGUGAGGUAACGGCUCACCAAGGCGACGAUCAGUAGCUGGUCUGAGAGGAUGACCAGCCACACUGGGACUGAGACACGGCCCAGACUCCUACGGGAGGCAGCAGUGGGGAAUCUUGCGCAAUGGGCGAAAGCCUGACGCAGCCAUGCCGCGUGAAUGAUGAAGGUCUUAGGAUUGUAAAAUUCUUUCACCGGGGACGAUAAUGACGGUACCCGGAGAAGAGGCCCCGGCUAACUUUGUG
This 433-nucleotide ribosomal RNA is filed under the name uncultured bacterium. RNAcentral's name for it is "partial 16S ribosomal RNA". It matches the Rfam family "Bacterial small subunit ribosomal RNA", at positions 29 to 507 of the family's 1533-position model. The record is from RNAcentral.